CAACAACGUGGAGGAACCAAAACUUUCAGAUUAGAACAGCCAGAGCAAGCAACGGUGAUGACGGUAGAGGGGGAGGUGGAGCAGCUCCGCCAAUUAGAGCCCGAUCGGAGGACUGCUCACAACCACAAUUAGCAGCAACGCCAAUGAAGCCCGGUGUUUACUUCCCAGGAGUUUAUUUUCAACUGCUUGAAUGGUGAAGAUGGGGCAGCCUGAAAUAAGAUGUUAAUGUAGCUAAGGAUUCUCAGUCUAUAAUAAGCUCGAGUUUCAACACUGUACACCUGAGGUUUACAUCUCGCCAAGGCCAAGAUACAGUCCAAGAUUUUCUGCCUAGUUGAUGAAGAAAACUCGACAAAGAAAGAAAGGGUGCAUCUAGAGCAAGUCCCUUGCUGCUUGUGAGGUCCAGGUAUAGUAAGCAUCUGAUAUGCACUCAAGUUAUGAUCCAAAGCGUGGAGCACCAAGUUAAAGAAUGGUGAUUUAAACGAAUAGAUAAAAUGGAAUGCAGUCAUAGUCACUUAGUGGCCACUAAAGUUAACUUUUGAACAAAACAGUGGGUUUGGAAUUCCAACAUGGAUUUCUUAGAUGGACUCAGAGGAAUGGCCUAGAAGAGCAUGCAUCAGCAGCUGCUGCAGACCACAAAGCGUAGGAGAUAUCAUGCUCCUUUACCAUUUUAUUGUUUUUUUAAAGGUCUGGAUAUGGGGAUGAUGCGUACACAUCAUAAAGUCACACGCCACUUUUCUUAAAGAGCUAUUUACUUUGGUCAUCAGAUUCCUAUAAUGGGAUGAUGAGCAACUUUCCUCUGUAUGAAGUUGUAAUUAAGGUAUUUGUCAUUUAGAAGUCAAAUGAAAUUUUUGCUAAAUCAA
Coffea eugenioides is the source of this 860-nucleotide long non-coding RNA. RefSeq lists it as uncharacterized. The transcript has 3 exons. Lineage: Eukaryota; Viridiplantae; Streptophyta; Magnoliopsida; Gentianales; Rubiaceae. The record is from RefSeq and is a predicted model, not a curated record.